AGCAGUCGCCGCGGGAAUACGUAGGGUGCGAGCGUUAAUCGGAAUUACUGGGCGUAAAGCGUGCGCAGGCGGUUGUGUAAGACAGGUGUGAAAUCCCCGGGCUUAACCUGGGAACUGCGCUUGUGACUGCACAGCUAGAGUAUGGCAGAGGGGGGUGGAAUUCCACGUGUAGCAGUGAAAUGCGUAGAGAUGUGGAGGAACACCGAUGGCGAAGGCAGCCCCCUGGGCCAAUAUUGACGCUCAUGCACGAAAGCGUGGGGAGCAAACAGGAUUAGAUACCCGCGUAGUCCCUGUCUCUUAUAA
Molecule: ribosomal RNA, 303 nt
Filed under: uncultured bacterium
Lineage: Bacteria
Description: partial 16S ribosomal RNA
Rfam family: Bacterial small subunit ribosomal RNA
Source: RNAcentral